UGACCCGUCUUGAAACACGGACCAAGGAGUCUAGCAUGUGCGCAAGUCAUUGGGAAUAAAAUAUUUUUUCAUCGAAAUAUUAAUAAAUUUUAUGAAACCCAAAGGCGAAAUGAAAGUAAAAUAAUAUUUAAUUUUUUUUCUUUUUUGAUUGAAAAUAAAAAUAUUUGAGGGAGGAUAUAUUUUUAUUAUGUAUUAAAUAUCGCACUCCCAGGGCAUCUUAAAUUAUUAUUUGAUAUCUUUUAUAUUUAAUUAUAAAAUUUUAUUAUUUAAUAAUAAGGUGCACCUAGAGCGUACACGCUGGGACCCGAAAGAUGGUGAACUAUGCCUGGUCAGGACGAAGUCAGGGGAAACCCUGAUGGAGGUCCGUAGCGAUUCUGACGUGCAAAUCGAUCGUCGGAACUGGU
This 404-nucleotide ribosomal RNA is filed under the name Myrmeleon carolinus. Its description in RNAcentral is "partial 28S ribosomal RNA". It matches the Rfam family "Eukaryotic large subunit ribosomal RNA", at positions 645 to 915 of the family's 3401-position model. Lineage: Eukaryota; Metazoa; Arthropoda; Insecta; Neuroptera; Myrmeleontidae. The record is from RNAcentral.